GGGAAAUGGGAAGAAGGGCCAGCCUCAGGCCCCAUAACAAACUGGGGCA
Non-coding RNA from Macaca mulatta (Rhesus monkey), 49 nucleotides. The record is from Rfam. Lineage: Eukaryota; Metazoa; Chordata; Mammalia; Primates; Cercopithecidae.